UUUUUUUUAAACAAGAAAACUCUGAAAUGAUACCUGGCAAUCACCUUGAUCAGACAUGGGAGGUAACCUGAAAACAUCCAACGUCACCAACAUCCUGUGUUACCCCGGACCCUUGCUGUGCUUGGCGUCUUGGCUGAACAUCACAGGAGCCCCUGAAGGAAGCCUCCCUAUCUCCAUCCUACAGCUGAGGGGACUGAGGCCAUGUGAGUUUCACACCCUGACCCUGUAGACAAGAAGACCCAGGCCAUGUGAGGUUCAACAUCUCAUCCCUACAGACGAGGAGACCUGGACACGUGCGCGUUACAUCUUGUCCAAGAACGUCUAGCCAGUGGGAGAGCUGCGGCCAUAGGAAAGUUCCCACGCAGGUCCUGGAGUCCGUGCCCAGAGAUGAAGCUGGCUGAGGGACUGACUCCUCAUGCCCCACGUGGAAGUCAUGGAAGCGGCCGUGAGCAUAGCCGUUGAUGUGACCGCUUGUAUGUACUCAGCCAUGAAAGGUGAAAUGUGCCAUUUGGAACAAUGUGGAUGAGCCUGGAGAUGAUCAUACGAAGUGAGGUCAGCCAAAGACAAUGUCACAUCACUGCAUGUGGAAUCCAGACGUAUUCUGCGGACACAGGGCGCCAUGUCCUAGCCAAGUUGAGACAUGAAAGGAAACAUUGAAACAGUGCUUUCUGGGAUCUUCUAUUUCUCCGUUUCUCCAAAGACUUCACUUUCUUUAAGCACAAAGUAGAAUGUUCACAUCACAAACUGAUGACCCAGGAGAGAAGCUAUAAGCUGGCUGUUACAGCAAAGGUUUUAAAUAAUUAGAAGGGGCCACCCCCACUCCCCCAGAGCCUGGAGGGUGACACCGCUCGCCUCGUGGGAUCCAACUGCCUCCGUGACCCCGUGCCAUGAGGUCAGCUCCCAUGGGCGUGAGGCUGAUCACACCUUUGCUGGAGGGUCGGAAAGCCUUCCUGGAAGACGCACAGGCAGAAUGAACCCGAAGAAAGCCCUGAAGGUGGAGAGAGCUCCGGGCAGAGAGCAACACAAACCCUGGUUCCCUGGGGGAGAGAAUUCAGACGCAAAGCUGGACAGCUGGACAGCUAGGCUGAAGGCGCUUCUGAAGCUCUACAGAGCUGGGCUGAGGAGGAAAGUCAGAAUUUGCAGAACAGGCUUGGGACCACGGCUAGGCGACUCCAGGCAGAGAUGGGGGGCAGGUCCAGGCCAGGAAGACAGCGCCCCUUGUGGCUGAUGGUGGAAAUUGUCACCUUCCCUCCCACCCCCGACCCCCAGCCUGUCUCCUGGGAUGUCAAGGAGCCUUGCAAACUGCUGUCCUCCCGGAGGGCUCACCUGUGACCAGAGCAUUUGCAGAGCUGCAGGGACUGUGGGUGGUGCUGUCCAUCAGCAUCCUGUCCUUCCAGCCCAGCUCCAGCUGGCACGGAUCAGCCUCGCGUUUCCCAGGGGACUCGGGCGGGGCAGCCAGGGUCCCCAGGAGCCCCCGGGGCAGCCGUCCCCGACCCAGCACUGGCUCCGGCAGACAGAGGCUAUGGCAGUGUCAGUGUCUGGGUUAAACACUGCAAAGCGAUGAUAAUUUCAGGCAACCACAGUGGGCAGCCUGCAUGAAUUACCUCUGUGCUCCAUGCAUGCCUGAUCAGCCAUCUACUCUGAGUGGAGGAAACAUGCAAACAUCUGGCACCGUCCACAACAGGGCUGCCCG
Molecule: long non-coding RNA, 1693 nt
Filed under: Sus scrofa (pig)
Lineage: Eukaryota; Metazoa; Chordata; Mammalia; Artiodactyla; Suidae
Description: lncRNA (ENSSSCG00015078696.1)
Source: RNAcentral